AGCUACAGGCUUAACACAUGCAAGUCGAGGGGCAGCAUCAUCAAAGCUUGCUUUGAUGGAUGGCGACCGGCGCACGGGUGAGUAACACGUAUCCAACCUGCCGACAACACUGGGAUAGCCUUUCGAAAGAAAGAUUAAUACCGAAUGGCAUAGUUUUCCCGCAUGGGAUAAUUAUUAAAGAAUUUCGGUUGUCGAUGGGGAUGCGUUCCAUUAGGCAGUUGGCGGGGUAACGGCCCACCAAACCUACGAUGGAUAGGGGUUCUGAGAGGAAGGUCCCCCACAUUGGAACUGAGACACGGUCCAAACUCCUACGGGAGGCAGCAGUGAGGAAUAUUGGUCAAUGGACGAGAGUCUGAACCAGCCAAGUAGCGUGAAGGAUGACUGCCCUAUGGGUUGUAAACUUCUUUUAUACGGGAAUAAAGUGAGCCACGUGUGGCUUUUUGUAUGUACCGUAUGAAUAAGGAUCGGCUAACUCCGUGCCAGCAGCCGCGGUAAUACGGAGGAUCCGAGCGUUAUCCGGAUUUAUUGGGUUUAAAGGGAGCGUAGGCGGGUUGUUAAGUCAGUUGUGAAAGUUUGCGGCUCAACCGUAAAAUUGCAGUUGAUACUGGCGACCUUGAGUGCAACAGAGGUAGGCGGAAUUCGUGGUGUAGCGGUGAAAUGCUUAGAUAUCACGAAGAACUCCGAUUGCGAAGGCAGCUUACUGGAUUGUAACUGACGCUGAUGCUCGAAAGUGUGGGUAUCAAACAGGAUUAGAUACCCUGGUAGUCCACACAGUAAACGAUGAAUACUCGCUGUUGGCGAUAUACAGUCAGCGGCCAAGCGAAAGCAUUAAGUAUUCCACCUGGGGAGUACGCCGGCAACGGUGAAACUCAAAGGAAUUGACGGGGGCCCGCACAAGCGGAGGAACAUGUGGUUUAAUUCGAUGAUACGCGAGGAACCUUACCCGGGCUUAAAUUGCAACUGACUGAACCGGAAACGGUUCUUUCUUCGGACAGUUGUGAAGGUGCUGCAUGGUUGUCGUCAGCUCGUGCCGUGAGGUGUCGGCUUAAGUGCCAUAACGAGCGCAACCCUUACGGGUAGUUACCAUCAGGUUAUGCUGGGGACUCUACCCGGACUGCCGUCGUAAGAUGUGAGGAAGGUGGGGAUGACGUCAAAUCAGCACGGCCCUUACGUCCGGGGCUACACACGUGUUACAAUGGGGGGUACAGAAGGCAGCUACACGGCGACGUGGUGCUAAUCCCGAAAGCCUCUCUCAGUUCGGAUUGGAGUCUGCAACCCGACUCCAUGAAGCUGGAUUCGCUAGUAAUCGCGCAUCAGCCACGGCGCGGUGAAUACGUUCCCGGGCCUUGUACACACCGCCCGUCAAGCCAUGAAAGCCGGGGGUACCUGAAGUACGUAACCGCGAGGAGCGUCCUAGGGUAAAACUGGUGAUUGGGGCUAAGUCGUA
RNAcentral lists this ribosomal RNA (1447 nucleotides) under uncultured organism. Its description in RNAcentral is "SSU rRNA". It matches the Rfam family "Bacterial small subunit ribosomal RNA". The record is from RNAcentral.